GACGAACGCUGGCGGCGUGCUUAACACAUGCAAGUCGAACGGAAAGGCCCUGCUUUUGUGGGGUGCUCGAGUGGCGAACGGGUGAGUAACACGUGAGUAACCUGCCCUUGACUUUGGGAUAACUUCAGGAAACUGGGGCUAAUACCGGAUAGGAGCUCCUGCUGCAUGGUGGGGGUUGGAAAGUUUCGGCGGUUGGGGAUGGACUCGCGGCUUAUCAGCUUGUUGGUGGGGUAGUGGCUUACCAAGUCUUUGACGGGUAGCCGGCCUGAGAGGGUGACCGGCCAAACGGGAACUGAGAGACGGGCGAGACUGCUAGGGGAGGCAGCAGGAGGGAAUCGUCCGCAAUGGGCGAAAGGCGGGCGGAGCAACGCCGCGGGAUGGAUCAAGGUCUUGGGAGCGUAAAAGUCUGUGAUUAGGGAAGAAAAAAAGUGUAAUGAACAAUGCACGCCAUGACGGUACCUAAUCAGAAAGCCACGGCUAGCUACGGG
This 488-nucleotide ribosomal RNA is filed under the name uncultured bacterium. RNAcentral's name for it is "partial 16S ribosomal RNA". It matches the Rfam family "Bacterial small subunit ribosomal RNA", at positions 28 to 507 of the family's 1533-position model. The record is from RNAcentral.